UGGCUCUGGCAUCGAUGAAGAACGCAGCGAAACGCGAUACGUAAUGUGAAUUGCAGAAUUCCAGUGAAUCAUCGAAUCUUUGAACGCACAUUGCGCCCGCCAGCACUCUGGCGGGCAUGCCUGUUCGAGCGUCAUUUCAACCCCUCAAGCUCCGCUUGGUGCUGGGGAUCGGCAGCCCCGCCGUCCCCCAAACGCAGUGGCGGUCACGCUGCAGCCUCCCACGCGUAGUAGCACACCUCGCGGCGGAGAGCGGCGCGGCCAUGCCGUAAAACCCCCGACUGUUAUAUGGUUGACCUCGAAUCAGGUAGGACUACCCGCUGA
Molecule: unclassified non-coding RNA, 321 nt
Filed under: uncultured fungus
Lineage: Eukaryota; Fungi
Description: partial contains 5.8S ribosomal RNA and internal transcribed spacer 2
Rfam family: 5.8S ribosomal RNA (bases 1-134)
Source: RNAcentral